CAGAGAGAAGGAGAAGAAAAAGGAGUAGAUAGAGGAUAGAGGAGAGGAGGAGGAGAGAAGAGUAAGGCCAAGUGCGCACCACCGGCAAUCCGGAUGGGACCCAAAGUGGCUUAAAAUUGACAGACUGAAGCCGUGGCUAUAUAAUACGCCACAUGGUUCGUCAAAUGUGCUUUAAUUAGGCUAAGGGCUAAAAAUGUUUGUGCGUAUUUAGUCUGUACAAGUCUACAGCAUUAUGUGUUUAUUUCUGAGCCAACUCCACCAGGACCUCGAUGACCCAAUGGGUCUGGGCGCAUUCAACAUCAAGGAGGAGGAGGAGAGGCCAGGUGGAGAAGACCAGGACCAGGGAGCAGUUCUGGGCUCGGUUCAGAGAGGAGGUCAUGGAUCCAUAUCUUGUUGGCCUCCAGGACAGCCUAGACCGGAGGUUCCAACACCUGGAGAUUCUGGGGGCCUUCAGUGUGUUGUGUUCUCUAGUGAGAGGAUCAACACCUUAUCCUGACCCUCCUCUCCAGGCAGUUCUUGCAAGCGCCAGAGGUUGCUGUGUUGCAAGAGUUGCCCUCUUACAAGCAACGUGCUAGUUGGAGCAUUCAAGGUAUGGCAUGAGUGUGACAAUAUUUUGAAGAGAACAUUUUAGUUCAGUGUUGCCCAACCCUUUUUCCUGUUGAACUACCACUCUGUUUGCUCUUCUUUAAUGUUGUACAUCUUUUAGUUUUUCAUGUAUUUCAGGGGUUGGACCAGCUGACGGCAAUGACAAAGUUGUUUGAUGAGUGGGGGCAGUCUACCCCUGCCUUAGCCAGCUGGCAGCAAUCGCACUGACCAUACCAGUGUCUUCCGUUAAUUGUGAGAGGGACUUCUCUGCAAUGAAACGAGUCAAAACAGACUAAAGGAACAGACUGCAGGGAGAGCAUCUAGCCGCCUGCAUGCGGCUCUCCAUCAACGGCCCCCCCAUCAAGGAGCUCAAUUACAGGAGGGUGUUGGAAAUCUUUUUCCCAAAUCCCAGAAGAAUAAAGUGCUCUGACAAAGGCUGUAAACUAUGUCAGAACUAAGUUUUUGUCAGAACCUGGAAAGAGAUUUCCAACGCCCUCCUUUUGUGAUGAACAUGAAUUAGUGGGCUCUAA
Molecule: long non-coding RNA, 1115 nt
Organism: Coregonus clupeaformis (lake whitefish)
Lineage: Eukaryota; Metazoa; Chordata; Actinopteri; Salmoniformes; Salmonidae
Exons: 3
Source: RefSeq, a predicted model, not a curated record